This 465-nucleotide ribosomal RNA is filed under the name uncultured bacterium. Its description in RNAcentral is "partial 16S ribosomal RNA". It matches the Rfam family "Bacterial small subunit ribosomal RNA", at positions 28 to 507 of the family's 1533-position model. The record is from RNAcentral.
GAUGAACGCUGGCGGCGUGCUUAACACAUGCAAGUCGAACGGAAAGGCUCCUGCUUGUAGGGGUAUUCGAGUGGCGAACGGGUGAGUAACACGUGGGUGAUCUGCCCUGCACUUUGGGAUAAGUCUGGGAAACUGGGUCUAAUACCGGAUAGGACUAUGGUUUGGAUGCCAUUGUGGAAAGUUUGUCGGGUUGGGAUGAGCUUGCGGCCUAUCAGCUUGUUGGUGGGGUAAUGGCCUACGAAGGCGUCGACGGGUAGCCGGCCUGAGAGGGCGUACGGCCGGAUUGGGACUGAGGUACGGCCCAGACUCCUACGGGAGGCAGCAGUGGGGAAUGUUGCACAAUGGGCGCAAGCCUGAUGCAGCGACGCAGCGUGGGGGAUGACGGCCUUCGGGUUGUAAACCCCUUUCGCUAGGGACGAAGCGCAAGUGACGGUACCUGGAGAAGAAGCGCCGGCUAACUACGUG